Molecule: unclassified non-coding RNA, 429 nt
Filed under: Hevea brasiliensis (rubber tree)
Lineage: Eukaryota; Viridiplantae; Streptophyta; Magnoliopsida; Malpighiales; Euphorbiaceae
Source: RNAcentral
GGAUGCAAGGUUUAAAGCCUUUGAGAUUCUAUCACAUAACAGCCCAACUCACAUCCCCAUGUUCUCUCAGGAUAGUCAGGAUCAAAGAGGUGUGUCAACUGAUGGACCAUGGUUAGAUUCCUCAAUUUCUUCCCCAAGUAAUGAUGAGUCACGAGAGCAUUCAUCAAGCCGGCUUCUUAAGGAUCUUUAUGAUGUUAAAUUGGAGUAAUCAAAGCAGGAUUGAUAAAAUAGUAACUAUAUAUAUAAAUAAGUCUUGGUUGAUCCAGGAGAAAUAGUUUUGAUUAGUGUGUAUAGCUUCUUCCUUGUCCAAGUUUAACUUUAUUAGCCCUUUAACAUGUAAAUGAAAACCACCACCUUCUUGUGGUGAAACUUUCCCUAGAGUAAUCCAAACAUCAAGAAAUUGGUAGACAAACCGACAUGGAAUCAAAA